UUUCAUGUCAUGGAUACCCUCAAAAAAGAGGUGUCUUCGUUCCUGCAUGUAUCUCAAUAUGUCACACGGACCUCACAUUCCUCUGCCACGUGCUUCUUGCGUAUGCCACAGAGGGUAAGAGCAUGCAACCACGAAACGCCGCUGGGCUGUAGUGGUGUAAGGUGGAGCAGAGGCAACAUCUCAUGUGGUUUCUCCUCGAGGACAACGGUGUCAAUCUCACGGUUCGGUCGAACUACGCCGAUGCAUGUGAGACUAGACGGAACUGCAUAGCCUGUACAGACGGUUCACAUGAUUGCAGAAAAACACGUUCAUUCGACAAUUCCAAUUUUCUCUCCUCUCACUGAACUAGCGUCGCAAGUGGCCCCAUAUGAGGUUUCUGGCCGCGAGAGGUAUUUGCAGGUUUUGUCACGCUGCCUCAUCUCCUGAUACGGGAACUAACGGAACCUGCUGACUGAUGACCGAACAAUACACGCGGAAACGCUGCUACACAUUGUGGGGUCAUCAAAUCUACGUGAACUGCCAGGAAGUGACCAGACAUUGAAAUAGGGAGACCAGUUUAUCUUUUGCAGCAUUUGCCUUCUAAGUCACCCACCUCGUGGUGGCUUGCGCAUCCUGGUGGUUUGCUGUCGCUGAAAAAGAUUGUCGGAACAUCCGUCGGUAGCGAAUAGCCAAAUAAGUAACUGAUGAUACUGCCUGUCGAAACGCAACUUUGUUCUGUUAAUUAUGCAUCAGAAUUCCUCUGCCCCGAAAAAAUGAUAACUCAUAUCGGUUGCUGUCAUUUUCGGCACUUGCACCAUUGACGGGAUCGCACGAGAACAGCAC
This 822-nucleotide long non-coding RNA is filed under the name Toxoplasma gondii VEG. Lineage: Eukaryota; Apicomplexa; Conoidasida; Eucoccidiorida; Sarcocystidae. The record is from RNAcentral.